RNAcentral lists this ribosomal RNA (232 nucleotides) under Clostridioides difficile. RNAcentral's name for it is "partial 23S ribosomal RNA". It matches the Rfam family "Bacterial large subunit ribosomal RNA", at positions 1129 to 1369 of the family's 2925-position model. The record is from RNAcentral. Lineage: Bacteria; Bacillati; Bacillota; Clostridia; Peptostreptococcales; Peptostreptococcaceae.
AGUGCGUAAUAGCUCACUGGUCGAGUGAUCCUGCGCCGAAGAUUUCCGGGGCUAAAACUUACUACCGAAGCUACGGCAUCAGUAAUGAUGGGUAGGGGAGCUUCCCAUACGGGUUGAAGCAUGACCGGAAGGACAUGUGGACAGUAUGGGAGUGAGAAUGUUGGCAUGAGUAGCGAGAUGUGGGUGAGAAUCCCACAGGCCGUAAACCCAAGGUUUCCAGGGGAAGGUUCGU